Molecule: transfer RNA, 64 nt
Filed under: Pheidole fervens
Lineage: Eukaryota; Metazoa; Arthropoda; Insecta; Hymenoptera; Formicidae
Also listed under: 2 other names
Description: tRNA-Asp
Source: RNAcentral
AAAGAAUUAGUUAAAAUAACAUUAAAUUGUCAAUUUAAAAUUAUUAUGUAAAUAAUAUUCUUUU